AGUGGGGAAUAUUGCACAAUGGGCGCAAGCCUGAUGCAGCCAUGCCGCGUGUGUGAAGAAGGCCUUCGGGUUGUAAAGCACUUUCAGCGGGGAGGAAGGGCUACUAGUUAAUACCUAGUAGCAUUGACGUUACUCGCAGAAGAAGCACCGGCUAACUCCGUGCCAGCAGCCGCGGUAAUACGGAGGGUGCAAGCGUUAAUCGGAAUUACUGGGCGUAAAGCGCACGCAGGCGGUUUGUUAAGUCAGAUGUGAAAUCCCCGAGCUCAACUUGGGAACUGCAUUUGAAACUGGCAAGCUAGAGUCUUGUAGAGGGGGGUAGAAUUCCAGGUGUAGCGGUGAAAUGCGUAGAGAUCUGGAGGAAUACCGGUGGCGAAGGCGGCCCCCUGGACAAAGACUGACGCUCAGGUGCGAAAGCGUGGGGAGCAAA
RNAcentral lists this ribosomal RNA (427 nucleotides) under Plesiomonas shigelloides. RNAcentral's name for it is "bacterial SSU rRNA". It matches the Rfam family "Bacterial small subunit ribosomal RNA", at positions 353 to 772 of the family's 1533-position model. Lineage: Bacteria; Pseudomonadati; Pseudomonadota; Gammaproteobacteria; Enterobacterales; Enterobacteriaceae. The record is from RNAcentral.